RNAcentral lists this ribosomal RNA (450 nucleotides) under uncultured bacterium. RNAcentral describes it as "partial 16S ribosomal RNA". It matches the Rfam family "Bacterial small subunit ribosomal RNA", at positions 354 to 796 of the family's 1533-position model. The record is from RNAcentral.
GUGAGGAAUUUUGCGCAAUGGCCGCAAGGCUGACGCAGCAACGCCGCGUGGGUGAUGAAGGCCUUCGGGUCGUAAAGCCCUGUCAGGUGGGAAGAAAGGCCUGGAGAGGAAAGGUUUCAGGUUUGACGGUACCACCAGAGGAAGCACCGGCUAACUCCGUGCCAGCAGCCGCGGUAAUACGGAGGGUGCGAGCGUUAUUCGGAAUUACUGGGCGUAAAGCGCGUGUAGGCGGGGGGACAAGUCUGAUGUGAAAGCCCUGGGCUUAACCUGGGAAGCGCAUUGGAAACUGUUUUUCUUGAGUACUGGAGAGGAAGGGGGAAUUCCCGGUGUAGAGGUGAAAUUCGUAGAGAUCGGGAGGAAUACCAGUGGCGUAGGCGCCCUUCUGGACGGUAACUGACGCUGAGACGCGAAAGCGUGGGGAGCAAACAGGAUUAGAUACCCCGGUAGUCC